GGACGGGGUGGGAGAUGCUUGCGACAGCUGCCCUGAAAUGAGCAAUCCUACCCAGAUGCAGACAGCGACCUGGUGGGGGAUGUCUGUGAUACUAAUGAAGACAGCGAUGGGGAUGGGCAUCAGGACACCAAGGACAACUGCCCACAGCUGCCAAAUAGCUCCCAGCUGGACUCUGAUAACGAUGGACUUGGAGAUGAGUGUGAUGGGGAUGAUGACAAUGAUGGCAUCCCAGAUUAUGUGCCUCCUGGUCCUGAUAACUGCCGCCUGGUACCCAAUCCCAAUCAGAAGGACUCAGAUGUGGCCAGGGCCUUCCUGAGCACCCAGCCUCACUCUGCCCAGGCAAUGGCGUUGGUGAUGUGUGUGAGGAUGACUUUGACAAUGAUGCGGUGGUCGACCCCCUGGAUGUGUGUCCUGAAAGUGCAGAGGUAACGCUUACGGAUUUUCGGGCCUAUCAGACCGUCGUCCUGGAUCCUGAGGGUGAUGCUCAGA
RNAcentral lists this small RNA (489 nucleotides) under Pan troglodytes (chimpanzee). RNAcentral's name for it is "processed transcript". Lineage: Eukaryota; Metazoa; Chordata; Mammalia; Primates; Hominidae. The record is from RNAcentral.